Molecule: non-coding RNA, 2228 nt
Organism: Pelodiscus sinensis (Chinese soft-shelled turtle)
Lineage: Eukaryota; Metazoa; Chordata; Testudines; Trionychidae
Source: RefSeq, a predicted model, not a curated record
GGCAAGCCCCACGCCUAACCCGCCUACCGAGGGUGACUGCACCGCUGUCACGCCUACAACGUAGGGCGGAGAAACCCCUGUGGCUUCGGCAGCGACCGCAAAACGCUGCUGCUGGGCAACGGGAGGUAUCUUGAACUGAGCUACAACAGCCGCCCGAUCAACUCCUCAGCCUCUCUCCCCUCCCACUCCAUGCUGCUUUCCUACAGCCUCACCUGUGCCCCCUUCCAUCUCUGCCACGUGCCGCCCCCUACUCUGUCGCUCCCCCAGCCUCAUCACCACACCCCACCCGCUUCAUCCAGUCUCCCUCACCGUGACCUGUCACGCUCCUACCUAGCCCCUACACCCCCGCACAACGCCUGUCCUCCUCCCUGAUCCUCCCACACUUUCUACCCCACUACAUGCUGUACCCGCCCCUCUCCCACAAUCCUCAUUCCUUACCCACCUCACCCCGACCUAUAGCCGCCCUCGCAGCCAUCUCACACCACCCCCUUUCUCAUAGACACCCUAUACCAGCCCCUAUUCCUCACCCACACAACCUGUACCAUACAGAUCCCUCAACCCUCUCCCCAGGUACACCAUCAACAUUUACCUUCCUCUUUGUAUACAUUCCCACCCCAACCCAUUUCCCUCCAGGCAGACACACUUUUGUCUCAUUCCAUACUCCUUGCUGCACACAGACCUCUUGCUACAUCCUGUAUCCUUCUCUUCACUAAAACACACCUCUGUUCACCAUAACUCAUCCUCUUACACACACAUACAUGCAACCUCUACACUUCCUACACCCAGACAACCACAACCUAUAGCUUUCCUUACAUAGAUACUCUUGCCAUAAGCCAAAGCUGGUGUCAUCUCUGGCCUGUUGAAUGAUGACGUCGCGUGCUGAGAAAAUGUGCACUGAUGCCCAAAUUGCAGAUGUCCUGAAUAGGGACCUGCACUGAGAAAGCAGCUGACAAUGCCUGCGAUCUCAUAGAACAAAUGAUCAGGUUAAUUGGAGGUGGAGCACCUGCCUGAUCAUAAUACAAAGAAUAAAAUUCUCUAAGCAGAGAGAGGAAGGCCUCCAAGCCUAUUAGUUACCACUAUAAACAGCUGGCUAGAUCUAUAGAAUGUCUCAGUCCUUUCUCUGUAGAACACUAGGACCUGCCUCAUAUCUAAUGAGUGAAGACAUUGCUCCUCUAUUCACAUGCGGUUUCAGGCAGAAAACCAAACUGAAAAUUGCUUGACUGCAAUGGAACUGUGAAUCAUUUCCAGGAGGAAAGAGAUUGCAGGUGAAACAGACAUCACACAGGAGAAGAGACACCUGGAGUGAAGAAUGUGACAGCGAAAUUGGGCUCUAGGAAGACCAGAUGGAGAACUGCUUCUAUUUUGCAAGAUUGAACAUCGUUGGAUUAAUCGUUUGUGGUAAAGCCUUUUGGUUUUGACUUGUGUGCCACCACGUGUGGAAUCAUCUCACGUACGGGUUUUUGAGCUACAGUCAUUACUUUUGGACUUAGACUUUAUCAGCCAUCACCACCACCCCACUUCCGUACCGGACAGAUUUGUUGGCAAGCCAUCCAUUCCUGUAUCCUGGAAGAACCACUACCCAACGAUCAAGGAUCUUCCGGCAGCCCUCGGCCAGAAGGUGAGGAUACUGCGUUGAGGGAUCUCCCAGUUGGUCCUCCUUUGAGGCUUAAAAUUAGCCAAGAAGCAGUAGGUCACGGGUGCCUAUCGCCUGACAUUUUGUAACAUAUCUUUUUGUAUUGGGAUCUUUUUUUAUCUUCUUUAUAUCUUGGGAUAAGGUGGGUUAUAUUCAUUGCUCCUGUUUUUGCUGUUUAUAUUCUAAAAUACAUGGUUUGCCCCUAAACUUUGUAUUGCCUGAUUACUGGAUCAGUAGUCCGCCAGUGAUAGAGAUACGGAUUACCAGGCAAGCCUCGCUUUUGAUUCAGUGAUCAGUUAUAACUAGUCAGAGCGAUUCUAAAUCUAUUCUAAAUUAACGUUAUAUCAUUCCCUAGGUAACUACUUCCUAAAUCAUUUUCAUACUUGCUAACAUUUGAAAUCCACAAACAGGGAUAUUUGAGGAAGAAAAAUAGACUUACUCCAUUGAAAUUCUAGAGGUAACCACUUUUUGUAAAAUAUAGGGAUGUACAUUCUAAAUUAAGAGUUACUCACCCUGUGCAGUAAUGAUGGUUCUUCAAGAUGUGUCCCCCUGUAGGUGCUCCACUCAGGUCUCGGUGUGUCCUUGAGCUGCUGAU